Molecule: ribosomal RNA, 433 nt
Filed under: uncultured bacterium
Lineage: Bacteria
Description: partial 16S ribosomal RNA
Rfam family: Bacterial small subunit ribosomal RNA
Source: RNAcentral
AGCGAACGCUGGCGGCAGGCCUAACACAUGCAAGUCGAACGAACUCUUCGGAGUUAGUGGCGGACGGGUGAGUAACACGUGGGAACGUGCCUUUAGGUUCGGAAUAACUCAGGGACACUUGUGCUAAUACCGAAUGUGCCCUUCGGGGGAAAGAUUUAUCGCCUUUAGAGCGGCCCGCGUCUGAUUAGCUAGUUGGUGAGGUAAAGGCUCACCAAGGCGACGAUCAGUAGCUGGUCUGAGAGGAUGAUCAGCCACAUUGGGACUGAGACACGGCCCAAACUCCUACGGGAGGCAGCAGUGGGGAAUCUUGCGCAAUGGGCGAAAGCCUGACGCAGCCAUGCCGCGUGAAUGAUGAAGGUCUUAGGAUUGUAAAAUUCUUUCACCGGGGACGAUAAUGACGGUACCCGGAGAAGAAGCCCCGGCUAACUUCGUG